AACGAACGCUGGCGGCAUGCCUAACACAUGCAAGUCGAACGGGAUCCUAGCUUGCUAGGUGAGAGUGGCGGACGGGUGAGUAACACGUGGGAAUCUGCCUUUUGGUUCGGGAUAACCGCGGGAAACUGCGGCUAAUACCGAAUGCCCUCGAGAGAGGAAAGAUUUAUCGCUAGAAGAGGAGCUUGCGUCCGAUUAGGUAGUUGGUGGGGUAAAGGCCUACCAAGCCGACGAUCGGUAGCUGGUCUGAGAGGAUGAUCAGCCACACUGGGACUGAGAUACGGCCCAGACUCCUACGGGAGGCAGCAGUGGGGAAUAUUGGACAAUGGGGGCAACCCUGAUCCAGCAAUGCCGCGUGAGUGAUGAAGGCCUUAGGGUUGUAAAGCUCUUUUGCCAGGGAAGAUGAUGACUGUACCUGGAGAAUAAGCCCCGGCUAACUUCGUGCCAGCAGCCGCGGUAAU
This 458-nucleotide ribosomal RNA is filed under the name uncultured bacterium. Its description in RNAcentral is "bacterial SSU rRNA". It matches the Rfam family "Bacterial small subunit ribosomal RNA", at positions 29 to 524 of the family's 1533-position model. The record is from RNAcentral.